This 1951-nucleotide ribosomal RNA is filed under the name soil metagenome. Its description in RNAcentral is "bacterial LSU rRNA". It matches the Rfam family "Bacterial large subunit ribosomal RNA", at positions 503 to 2570 of the family's 2925-position model. The record is from RNAcentral.
GUGAGGGAAAGGUGAAAAGCACCCCGACGAGGGGAGUGAAAGAGACCUGAAACCGGACGCCUACAAACAGAGGGAGCUCUUCGGAGUGACCUCGUACCUUUUGUAUAAUGGGUCAGCGAGUUCGUCUGUCUAGCAAGCUUAAGCCGCAAGGCGGAGGCGCAGGGAAACCGAGUCUGAAUAGGGCGACUGAGUUAGACGGAUGAGACCCGAAAGCAAGUGAUCUAGCCAUGACCAGGUUGAAGGUGCGGUAACACGCACUGGAGGACCGAACCCACGCCUGUUGAAAAAGUCGGGGAUGAGUUGUGGCUAGGGGUGAAAGGCCAAUCAAACUUGCAGAUAGCUGGUUCUCUGCGAAAGCUAUUUAGGUAGCGCGUCAUGUAUCACCAUCGGGGGUAGAGCACUGGAUGGGCUAGGGGGCUUCACCGCUUACCAAACCUAACCAAACUCCGAAUACCGAUGAGUGCUGAGCAUGGCAGACACACGGCGGGUGCUAACGUCCGUCGUGAAGAGGGAUAAAAACCCUGACCUACAGCUAAGGCCCCCAAUUCGUGGCUAAGUGGGAAAGGAUGUGAGGUUCCCAAAACAAUCAGGAUGUUGGCUUAGAAGCAGCCAUCAUUUAAAGAAAGCGUAACAGCUCACUGAUCUAAAUAAGGAACUUUGCGCCGAAAAUGUAACGGGGAUUAAGCCAUGAGCCGAAGCUUAGGAUUCACCGCAAGGUGAAUGGUAGCAGAGUGUUCCGUAUGCCUGCGAAGGGUGAGCGUGAGCGAGCCUGGAGGUAUCGGAAGUAAGAAUGCUGACAUGAGUAGCGAUAAAGAGGGUGAGAGACCCUCUCGCCGGAAGUCCAAGGGUUCCUGCGUCAAGUUAAUCUGCGCAGGGUUAGCCGGACCCUAAGGCCAGGCCGAAAGGCGUAGCCGAUGGGAAUGCGGUAAAUAUUCCGCAGCCAGUGGGAAGUGACGGAUCAUGCAAAUUGUUCGACCUUAUUGGAUUGGUCGGGCCGUGAAGUGGUCCCAGGAAAUAGCUCCCACAUAGUCCGUACCCCAAACCGACACAGGUGGACUGGCAGAGUAUGCUAAGGCGCUUGAGAGAACGGUGUUGAAGGAACUAGGCAAAUUGCCCUCGUAACUUCGGAAGAAGAGGGCCCGGUUGUUGCGCAAGCAGCGGCCGGGGGCACAUAGCAGGGGGUGGCGACUGUUUACUAAAAACACAGGGCGCUGCGAAAUCCAAAGAUGACGUAUAGCGUCUGACGCCUGCCCGGUGCUGGAAGGUUAAGAGGAGAUGUGAAAGCGUUGAAUCGAAGCCCCAGUAAACGGCGGCCGUAACUAUAACGGUCCUAAGGUAGCGAAAUUCCUUGUCGGGUAAGUUCCGACCUGCACGAAUGGCGUAACGACUUCCCCACUGUCUCCAAUACAGGCUCAGCGAAAUUGAAUUCCCCGUGAAGAUGCGGGGUUCCCGCGGUCAGACGGAAAGACCCCGUGCACCUUUACUGCAACUUUACACUGGCAUUAGGAAUGGGAUGUGUAGAAUAGGUGGUAGGCAUUGAAGCGAGGGCGCUAGCUCUCGUGGAGCCGAAAUGUGAAAUACCACCCUUCUUGUUCCUGAUGUCUAACCGCGGUCCUGAAACGGGAUCCGAGACAGUGUAUGGUAGGCAGUUUGACUGGGGCGGUCGCCUCCCAAAGAGUAACGGAGGCGCGCGAUGGUAGGCUCAAUCCGGUCGGAAAUCGGAUGUUGAGUGCAAUGGCAAAAGCCUGCCUGACUGCAAGGUCGACGGACCAAGCAGAGACGAAAGUCGGUCAUAGUGAUCCGGUGAUCCCGCGUGGAAGGGUCAUCGCUCAACGGAUAAAAGGUACGCCGGGGAUAACAGGCUGAUCGCACCCAAGCGUCCAUAGCGACGGUGCGGUUUGGCACCUCGAUGUCGGCUCAUCACAUCCUGGGGCUGUAGCCGGUCCCAAGG